RNAcentral lists this ribosomal RNA (200 nucleotides) under uncultured Glomus. RNAcentral's name for it is "partial small subunit ribosomal RNA". It matches the Rfam family "Eukaryotic small subunit ribosomal RNA", at positions 591 to 796 of the family's 1831-position model. The record is from RNAcentral. Lineage: Eukaryota; Fungi; Glomeromycota; Glomeromycetes; Glomerales; Glomeraceae.
CCAAUAGCGUAUAUUAAAGUUGUUGCAGUUAAAAAGCUCGUAGUUGAAUUUCGGGGUCAGUAGGUUGGUCAUGCCACCGGUAUGUACUGGUCUCACUGAUUCCUCCUUCCUGAUGAGCCGUAAUGCCAUUAAUUUGGUGUUGCGAGGAAUCUGGACUGUUACUUUGAAAAAAUUAGAGUGUUUAAAGCAGGCUAACGCUU